UGCGUAGGCGGCCCGUUAAGUCAGGGGUGAAAUCCCGCGGCUCAACUGCGGAACUGCCCUUGAUACUGGGGGGCUCGGAUCGGCGCGAGGCGGGCGGAACGUGGCAUGUAGCGGUGAAAUGCUUAGAUAUGCCACAGAACACCGAUUGCGUAGGCAGCUUGCCAGAGCCGUAUCGACGCUGAGGCACGAAAGCGUGGGGAGCGAACAGGAUUAGAUACCCUGGUAGUCC
This 229-nucleotide ribosomal RNA is filed under the name uncultured bacterium. Its description in RNAcentral is "partial 16S ribosomal RNA". It matches the Rfam family "Bacterial small subunit ribosomal RNA", at positions 568 to 796 of the family's 1533-position model. The record is from RNAcentral.